AAGAUAUUAGUUAACACAUAACAUUAUUUUGUCAUAAUAAAAUUAUCAUUAGAUAUAUCUUA
RNAcentral lists this transfer RNA (62 nucleotides) under Spirobolus grahami. Its description in RNAcentral is "tRNA-Asp". The record is from RNAcentral. Lineage: Eukaryota; Metazoa; Arthropoda; Diplopoda; Spirobolida; Spirobolidae.